This 465-nucleotide ribosomal RNA is filed under the name uncultured bacterium. Its description in RNAcentral is "partial 16S ribosomal RNA". It matches the Rfam family "Bacterial small subunit ribosomal RNA", at positions 28 to 507 of the family's 1533-position model. The record is from RNAcentral.
GACGAACGCUGGCGGCGUGCUUAACACAUGCAAGUCGAACGGAAAGGCCCUGCUUGCCGGGUACUCGAGUGGCGAACGGGUGAGUAACACGUGGGUGAUCUGCCCUGCACUUCGGGAUAAGCUUGGGAAACUGGGUCUAAUACCGGAUAGGAACCAUCUUUAGUGUGGUGGUUGGAAAGUUUUUUCGGUGUAGGAUGAGCUCGCGGCCUAUCAGCUUGUUGGUGGGGUAAUGGCCUACCAAGGCGGCGACGGGUAGCCGGCCUGAGAGGGUGUACGGCCACAUUGGGACUGAGAUACGGCCCAGACUCCUACGGGAGGCAGCAGUGGGGAAGAUUGCACAAUGGGCGCAAGCCUGAUGCAGCGACGCCGCGUGGGGGAUGAAGGCCUUCGGGUUGUAAACUCCUUUCGCUAGGGACGAAGCUUUUUGUGACGGUACCUAGAUAAGAAGCACCGGCUAACUACGUG